Molecule: ribosomal RNA, 253 nt
Filed under: uncultured bacterium
Lineage: Bacteria
Description: partial 16S ribosomal RNA
Rfam family: Bacterial small subunit ribosomal RNA
Source: RNAcentral
UACGGGGGGGGCAAGCGUUGUUCGGAAUUACUGGGCGUAAAGGGCUCGUAGGUGGCCAACUAAGUCAGACGUGAAAUCCCUCGGCUUAACCGGGGAACUGCGUCUGAUACUGGAUGGCUUGAGUUUGGGAGAGGGACGCGGAAUUCCAGGUGUGGCGGUGAAAUGCGUAGAUAUCUGGAGGAACACCGGUGGCGAAGGCGGCGUCCUGGACCAACACUGACACUGAGGAGCGAAAGCCAGGGGAGCAAACGGG